This 253-nucleotide ribosomal RNA is filed under the name uncultured bacterium. Its description in RNAcentral is "partial 16S ribosomal RNA". It matches the Rfam family "Bacterial small subunit ribosomal RNA", at positions 524 to 776 of the family's 1533-position model. The record is from RNAcentral.
UACGUAGGGGCCUAGCGUUGUCCGGAUUUAUUGGGCGUAAAGAGCUCGUAGGCGGCUUGUCGCGUCGACUGUGAAAUCUCAGGGCUCAACUCUGACAUUGCAGUCGAUACGGGCAGGCUAGAGUUCGGUAGGGGAGACUGGAAUUCCUGGUGUAGCGGUGAAAUGCGCAGAUAUCAGGAAGAACACCCGUGGCGAAGGCGGUUCUCUGGGACGGUACUGACGCUGAGACGCGAAAGCGUGGGGAGCGAACAGG